Molecule: ribosomal RNA, 812 nt
Filed under: uncultured bacterium
Lineage: Bacteria
Description: bacterial SSU rRNA
Rfam family: Bacterial small subunit ribosomal RNA
Source: RNAcentral
CAGUCGAGGGGCAGCGAGAUCAGUGCUUGCACUGAUUGUCGGCGACCGGCGCACGGGUGCGUAACGCGUAUGCAACCUACCCAUUACAGGGGGAUAACACUGAGAAAUCGGUACUAAUACCCCAUAACAUCCAGGGAGGCAUCUUCUUGGGUUGAAAACUCCGGUGGUAAUGGAUGGGCAUGCGUUGUAUUAGUUAGUUGGUGGGGUAACGGCUCACCAAGACCACGAUACAUAGGGGGACUGAGAGGUUAACCCCCCACAUUGGUACUGAGACACGGACCAAACUCCUACGGGAGGCAGCAGUGAGGAAUAUUGGUCAAUGGACGCAAGUCUGAACCAGCCAUGCCGCGUGCAGGAAGACGGCUCUAUGAGUUGUAAACUGCUUUUGUACGAGGGUAAACGCAGAUACGCGUAUCUGUCUGAAAGUAUCGUACGAAUAAGGAUCGGCUAACUCCGUGCCAGCAGCCGCGGUAAUACGGAGGAUUCAAGCGUUAUCCGGAUUUAUUGGGUUUAAAGGGUGCGUAGGCGGUCGGAUAAGUUAGAGGUGAAAUCCCGAGGCUCAACUUCGGAAUUGCCUCUGAUACUGUUCGGCUAGAGAGUAGUUGCGGUAGGCGGAAUGUAUGGUGUAGCGGUGAAAUGCUUAGAGAUCAUACAGAACACCGAUUGCGAAGGCAGCUUACCAAGCUACUUCUGACGUUGAGGCACGAAAGCGUGGGGAGCAAACAGGAUUAGAUACCCUGGUAGUCCACGCAGUAAACGAUGAUAACUCGUUGUCGGCGAUACAGUGUCGGUGACUAAGCGAAAGCGAUAAG